ACAUCGUGUUAUCCUUGGAGCGAUCGCCCAAGAAUAGGACAAACAUAAACCUUUUGUAAUUGCAAUCAGCGUCAGUAACAAAUUAAUAAUUACAACUUUCAACAACGGAUCUCUUGGUUCUGGCAUCGAUGAAGAACGCAGCGAAAUGCGAUAAGUAGUGUGAAUUGCAGAAUUCAGUGAAUCAUCGAAUCUUUGAACGCACAUUGCGCCCUUUGGUAUUCCAAAGGGCAUGCCUGUUCGAGCGUCAUUUGUACCCUCAAGCUUUGCUUGGUGUUGGGCGUCUUGUCUCUAGCUUUGCUGGAGACUCGCCUUAAAGUAAUUGGCAGCCGGCCUACUGGUUUCGGAGCGCAGCACAAGUCGCACUCUCUAUCAGCAAAGGUCUAGCAUCCAUUAAGCCUUUUUUUCAACUUUUGACCUCGGAUCAGGUAGGGAUACCCGCUGAACUUAAGC
Molecule: ribosomal RNA, 450 nt
Filed under: Alternaria alternata
Lineage: Eukaryota; Fungi; Ascomycota; Dothideomycetes; Pleosporales; Pleosporaceae
Description: eukaryotic LSU rRNA
Rfam family: 5.8S ribosomal RNA (bases 94-247)
Source: RNAcentral